Heterocephalus glaber (naked mole-rat) is the source of this 72-nucleotide non-coding RNA. The record is from Rfam. NCBI's taxonomy places the organism in Eukaryota, Metazoa, Chordata, Mammalia, Rodentia, Bathyergidae.
UGGGGUGUAGCUUAGUGGUAAAGAAUUUGCCUAGCAUGCUUGAGGCUUUGGGUUUGAUCCCUAGCACUGCAA